UAGAGUUUGAUCAUGGCUCAGGAUGAACGCUAGCGGCAGGCCUAACACAUGCAAGUCGAGGGGUAACAGGAAAGCUUGCUUUCGCUGACGACCGGCGCACGGGUGCGUAACGCGUAUGCAACCUACCUCAUACUGGAGAAUAGCCCCUGGAAACGGGGAUUAAUACUCCAUAGUAUCAUUCUUUCGCAUGUUUGAAUGAUUAAAGAAUUUCGGUAUGAGAUGGGCAUGCGUCCCAUUAGCUAGUUGGUGAGGUAACGGCUCACCAAGGCUACGAUGGGUAGGGGGCCUGAGAGGGUGGUCCCCCACACUGGUAUUGGGACACGGACCAGACUCCUACGGGAGGCAGCAGUGAGGAAUAUUGGUCAAUGGAGGCAACUCUGAACCAGCCAUGCCGCGUGAAGGAUGACGGCCCUAUGGGUUGUAAACUUCUUUUGAAUAGGAAGAAACUUAUCUACGUGUAGAUAACUGACGGUACUAUUAGAAUAAGGAUCGGCUAACUCCGUGCCAGCAGCCGCGGUAAUACGGAGGAUCCAAGCGUUAUCCGGAUUCAUUGGGUUUAAAGGGUCCGUAGGCGGAUCUUUAAGUCAGUGGUGAAAGCCGACAGCUUAACUGUCGAACUGCCAUUGAUACUGGAGAUCUUGAGUACAAACGAAGUA
This 656-nucleotide ribosomal RNA is filed under the name uncultured bacterium. Its description in RNAcentral is "bacterial SSU rRNA". It matches the Rfam family "Bacterial small subunit ribosomal RNA", at positions 1 to 659 of the family's 1533-position model. The record is from RNAcentral.